UAAUACGAAGGGGGCUAGCGUUGUUCGGAUUUACUGGGCGUAAAGCGCGUGUAGGCGGGUCGUUAAGUUGGGGGUGAAAUCCCGAGGCUCAACCUCGGAACUGCCUUCAAAACUGGCGACCUGGACUCAAGUAGAGGCAAGUGGAAUUGCGAGUGUAGAGGUGAAAUUCGUAGAUAUUCGCAGGAACACCAGUGGCGAAGGCGACUUGCUGGACUUGUAGUGACGCUGAGACGCGAAAGCGUGGGGAGCAAACAGG
Molecule: ribosomal RNA, 256 nt
Filed under: uncultured bacterium
Lineage: Bacteria
Also listed under: 1 other name
Description: partial 16S ribosomal RNA
Rfam family: Bacterial small subunit ribosomal RNA
Source: RNAcentral